AUGCAAGUCGAGCGGACAGAAGGGAGCUUGCUCCCGGAUGUUAGCGGCGGACGGGUGAGUAACACGUGGGUAACCUGCCUGUAAGACUGGGAUAACUCCGGGAAACCGGAGCUAAUACCGGAUAGUUCCUUGAACCGCAUGGUUCAAGGAUGAAAGACGGUUUCGGCUGUCACUUACAGAUGGACCCGCGGCGCAUUAGCUAGUUGGUGGGGUAAUGGCUCACCAAGGCGACGAUGCGUAGCCGACCUGAGAGGGUGAUCGGCCACACUGGGACUGAGACACGGCCCAGACUCCUACGGGAGGCAGCAGUAGGGAAUCUUCCGCAAUGGACGAAAGUCUGACGGAGCAACGCCGCGUGAGUGAUGAAGGUUUUCGGAUCGUAAAGCUCUGUUGUUAGGGAAGAACAAGUGCGAGAGUAACUGCUCGCACCUUGACGGUACCUAACCAGAAAGCCACGGCUAACUACGUGCCAGCAGCCGCGGUAAUACGUAGGUGGCAAGCGUUGUCCGGAAUUAUUGGGCGUAAAGGGCUCGCAGGCGGUUUCUUAAGUCUGAUGUGAAAGCCCCCGGCUCAACCGGGGAGGGUCAUUGGAAACUGGGAAACUUGAGUGCAGAAGAGGAGAGUGGAAUUCCACGUGUAGCGGUGAAAUGCGUAGAGAUGUGGAGGAACACCAGUGGCGAAGGCGACUCUCUGGUCUGUAACUGACGCUGAGGAGCGAAAGCGUGGGGAGCGAACAGGAUUAGAUACCCUGGUAGUCCACGCCGUAAACGAUGAGUGCUAAGUGUUAGGGGUUUCCGCCCCUUAGUGCUGCAGCUAACGCAUUAAGCACUCCGCCUGGGGAGUACGGUCGCAAGACUGAAACUCAAAGGAAUUGACGGGGGCCCGCACAAGCGGUGGAGCAUGUGGUUUAAUUCGAAGCAACGCGAAGAACCUUACCAGGUCUUGACAUCCUCUGACAACCCUAGAGAUAGGGCUUUCCCUUCGGGGACAGAGUGACAGGUGGUGCAUGGUUGUCGUCAGCUCGUGUCGUGAGAUGUUGGGUUAAGUCCCGCAACGAGCGCAACCCUUGAUCUUAGUUGCCAGCAUUUAGUUGGGCACUCUAAGGUGACUGCCGGUGACAAACCGGAAGAAAGGUGGGGAUGACGUCAAAUCAUCAUGCCCCUUAUGACCUGGGCUAACC
Molecule: ribosomal RNA, 1180 nt
Filed under: Bacillus pumilus
Lineage: Bacteria; Bacillati; Bacillota; Bacilli; Caryophanales; Bacillaceae
Description: bacterial SSU rRNA
Rfam family: Bacterial small subunit ribosomal RNA
Source: RNAcentral